RNAcentral lists this transfer RNA (69 nucleotides) under Ictidomys tridecemlineatus (thirteen-lined ground squirrel). Its description in RNAcentral is "Spermophilus tridecemlineatus (thirteen-lined ground squirrel) tRNA". It matches the Rfam family "tRNA". Rfam says of the family: Transfer RNA (tRNA) molecules are approximately 80 nucleotides in length. Their secondary structure includes four short double-helical elements and three loops (D, anti-codon, and T loops). Lineage: Eukaryota; Metazoa; Chordata; Mammalia; Rodentia; Sciuridae. The record is from Rfam by way of RNAcentral.
GGAAUUGUGGCUCAGUGGUAGAGUGCUUGCCUGGCAUGCAUGAGACCCUGGGUUAGAUCCUCAGCACCA